CGCGCGCGCGAGAGGAGAAAGAGAGAGAGAGAGAGAGAGAGAGACAGAUAGAGAAAUAGAGAAAGAGAGAGAGGAUGAAAGAUCGAUAUAGCGUGGGUGGUGGACGCGCAGAGGUGCGGUGAGCCACUGGCUAAGGCACUCGCGAGGGCCAGUCGUGCCGUCGACUGCAUCAGCGAACCCGUCUCGUCAUUCUCUUUCCUUCUACUUCUCUUGCAUACCGAAAACGAACGAAAUCAAUGACAGAUUCGAGCAGAGUUGACCGGAUAAAAGCUAAAAUAGUUAGAAAGAAAGAAAGAGAGAGAGAAAGGAACAAUUUCACGGAACGUUUAACACGUUCAACGACCCUCGCGGAAACAGGACACCUUCUCCUAUGACGUGAGACCCUUCGAAACACAAUCAGCUUUUUGCAAUCAGCACCGGAAACGAUUUGCAACCCCUGUAAUAAAAUCCUUUCGCGGUGACAUUCGCGAAAAGAAAAGAAUAGAAGAAAAA
Long non-coding RNA from Vespula pensylvanica (western yellowjacket), 492 nucleotides. RefSeq lists it as uncharacterized. NCBI's taxonomy places the organism in Eukaryota, Metazoa, Arthropoda, Insecta, Hymenoptera, Vespidae. The transcript is spliced from 2 exons. The record is from RefSeq and is a predicted model, not a curated record.